UCUUUAAGAUUAAUUAACUAAAAUAUCAUCUUAUUACAUAUAUACAGAUAAUUCAUAAUAUAUAUGUUAAUAUAAAUUAUGUUGAGGUAGCAUUGCUAAUAUAUUUUAGAAACAACUAGCUUAAUUUUAAGUGAAUAUAUAUGAUUGCUGUUAUAUGUCUACAUCUUCUCAAAUUUCAUUAAAUUUUAAUUUGGAUUCUUCUGACGCGGAAACUUAGCUAGCUUGAAGAUAGAAACAACCUGUACUGUUAUAUCAUUUAAGAUUAUAAAAUUUUGUGACUGGCCGAAAGGAUCUUAUACACGAGAGUAAAUCUAAAUCAACGUGUGUUAUCGAAUAUCGACUGGAGAUAUCUCCAACAUCUAAACUAAAGUCUUUAUGUUAUCCUCUUAUUUUGUCGUUACACCAUCAGGUUCUUCCCCCU
This 421-nucleotide long non-coding RNA is filed under the name Brassica napus (rape). Its description in RNAcentral is "long non-coding RNA (BNAP_LNC005344)". The record is from RNAcentral. Lineage: Eukaryota; Viridiplantae; Streptophyta; Magnoliopsida; Brassicales; Brassicaceae.